UAUUGAUCUCAAAUCAGGUAAGACUACCCGCUGAACUUAAGCAUAUCAAUAAG
RNAcentral lists this ribosomal RNA (53 nucleotides) under Dipsacomyces acuminosporus. RNAcentral's name for it is "partial 28S ribosomal RNA". The record is from RNAcentral. Lineage: Eukaryota; Fungi; Kickxellomycota; Kickxellomycetes; Kickxellales; Kickxellaceae.